UUGUGGUGAUUAAACGACGCAUUAACUUUGUUCUUACCAAGAUGUUGUGCUUAGGGUAAGGAGCCUUCUCCUUGGGGAGGGUUCCUUUCCCUGUGGAUGCGGCGUUUUGGUUAGGACUAAGUUGUGUGGUGGCUUUCGGAGGGGCUUGCGGCCUAUCAGGUAGUUGGUGGGGUAAAAGCCUACCAAGCCUACGACGGGUAGCUGGUCUGAGAGGACGGUCAGCCGGACUGGGACUGAGACACGGCCCAG
This 249-nucleotide ribosomal RNA is filed under the name uncultured bacterium. RNAcentral's name for it is "partial 16S ribosomal RNA". It matches the Rfam family "Bacterial small subunit ribosomal RNA", at positions 155 to 334 of the family's 1533-position model. The record is from RNAcentral.